AACGAACGCUGGCGGCAGGCUUAACACAUGCAAGUCGAACGCCCCGCAAGGGGAGUGGCCGACGGGUGAGUACCGCGUGGGAAUCUACCCAUCCCUACGGAAUAACGCAUGGAAACGUGUGCUAAUACCGUAUACGCCCUACGGGGGAAAGAUUUAUCGGGGAUGGAUGAGCCCGCGUUGGAUUAGCUAGUUGGUGGGGUAAAGGCCUACCAAGGCGACGAUCCAUAGCUGGUCUGAGAGGAUGAUCAGCCACAUUGGGACUGAGACACGGCCCAAACUCCUACGGGAGGCAGCAGUGGGGAAUAUUGGACAAUGGGCGCAAGCCUGAUCCAGCCAUGCCGCGUGAGUGAUGAAGGCCUUAGGGUUGUAAAGCUCUUUCACCGGAGAAGAUAAUGACGGUAUCCGGAGAAGAAGCCCCGGCUAACUUCGUG
Molecule: ribosomal RNA, 431 nt
Filed under: uncultured bacterium
Lineage: Bacteria
Description: partial 16S ribosomal RNA
Rfam family: Bacterial small subunit ribosomal RNA
Source: RNAcentral